AUACAUGCAGUCGAGCGCAGGAGCCGUCUGAACCCUUCGGGGGGACGACGGUGGAAUGAGCGGCGGACGGGUGAGUAACACGUAAAGAACCUGCCCAUAGGUCUGGGAUAACCACGAGAAAUCGGGGCUAAUACCGGAUGUGUCAUCGGACCGCAUGGUCCGCUGAUGAAAGGCGCUUCGGCGUCGCCCAUGGAUGGCUUUGCGGGGCAUUAGCUAGUUGGUGGGGUAACGGCCCACCAAGGCGACGAUGCAUAGCCGACCUGAGAGGGUGAUCGGCCACACUGGGACUGAGACACGGCCCAGACUCCUACGGGAGGCAGCAGUAGGGAAUCUUCCACAAUGGACGAAAGUCUGAUGGAGCAACCCCCGCGUGAACGAUGAAGGCUUUCGGGUCGUAAAGUUCUGUUGUAAGGGAAGAACAAGUGCCGCAGACAAUGGCGGCACCUUG
This 448-nucleotide ribosomal RNA is filed under the name Staphylococcus xylosus. Its description in RNAcentral is "bacterial SSU rRNA". It matches the Rfam family "Bacterial small subunit ribosomal RNA", at positions 51 to 482 of the family's 1533-position model. The record is from RNAcentral. Lineage: Bacteria; Bacillati; Bacillota; Bacilli; Caryophanales; Staphylococcaceae.